RNAcentral lists this unclassified non-coding RNA (374 nucleotides) under uncultured Gammaproteobacteria bacterium. RNAcentral's name for it is "contains 16S-23S intergenic spacer region". Lineage: Bacteria; Pseudomonadati; Pseudomonadota; Gammaproteobacteria. The record is from RNAcentral.
UCCGGUUUGUCACCGGCAGUCUCCUUAGAGUGCCCUUGCGUAGCAACUAAGGACAAGGGUUGCGCUCGUUGCGGGACUUAACCCAACAUCUCACGACACGAGCUGACGACAGCCAUGCAGCACCUGUGCGCCGGUUCUCUUUCGAGCACUUCCUGAUCUCUCAGAAAUUCCGACCAUGUCAAGGGUAGGUAAGGUUUUUCGCGUUGCAUCGAAUUAAUCCACAUCAUCCACCGCUUGUGCGGGUCCCCGUCAAUUCCUUUGAGUUUUAAUCUUGCGACCGUACUCCCCAGGCGGUCGACUUCACGCGUUAGCUGCGGUACUAAGGAAGUCUCCUUCCCCAACACCUAGUCGACAUCGUUUAGGGCGUGGACUAC